Long non-coding RNA from Parus major (Great Tit), 419 nucleotides. RefSeq lists it as uncharacterized. The record is from RefSeq and is a predicted model, not a curated record. The transcript has 3 exons. NCBI's taxonomy places the organism in Eukaryota, Metazoa, Chordata, Aves, Passeriformes, Paridae.
CAGAGAAACUGUCUUUUUCAUCUGAUAUCAUGGGUGAGAGAAGAAAUGGAGCUCGAGAGACAAAAGCCCAGUGCUCCUCUCCCAUAAUGUCUUUAGUACAUUCCUCACCUCUGCAGCAGUGAGCCCAAACGCUUCCUGUGAUCCUUCGUGAGAUUCUUUUGUACCUACUUCAUCCCAGUGAAACUUUCCCCACCCCUCUGUAUUUCUGCCUGUCUGCUCUCCCUCGGGUGGCAGCGCUGGCUGUGGGUUCUGAGUGCUGCUGCAGCCCUGGCAAAGGGAUGCUCCAUGCCCAAGACUUGCAUGCCAUGGGGGGCUUUGGGGCAGCUCAGAGCUCCCCUUGACCUCCCUGGAAAAAGCUCUGCUGUGUCGUGGUGCAGGGUGUUUAGGGGUGAAUAAAAGUAACAACCUUUUCAGUUUUA